This 468-nucleotide ribosomal RNA is filed under the name uncultured bacterium. RNAcentral's name for it is "partial 16S ribosomal RNA". It matches the Rfam family "Bacterial small subunit ribosomal RNA", at positions 28 to 507 of the family's 1533-position model. The record is from RNAcentral.
GACGAACGCUGGCGGCGUGCUUAACACAUGCAAGUCGAACGGAAAGGCCCUGCUUUUGUGGGGUGCUCGAGUGGCGAACGGGUGAGAAACACGUGAGUAACCUGCCCUUGACUUUGGGAUAACUUCAGGAAACUGGGGCUAAUACCGGAUAGGAGCUCCUGCUGCAUGGUGGGGGUUGGAAAGUUUCGGCGGUUGGGGAUGGACUCGCGGCUUAUCAGCUUGUUGGUGGGGUAGUGGCUUACCAAGGCUUUGAAGGGUAGCCGGCCUGAGAGGGUGACCGGCCACAUUGGGACUGAGAUACGGCACAGACUCCUACGGGAGGCAGCAGUGGGGAAUAUUGCACAAUGGGCGGAAGCCUGAUGCAGCAACGCCGCGUGCGGGAUGACGGCCUUCGGGUUGUAAACCGCUUUCGCCUGUGACGAAGCGUGAGUGACGGUAAUGGGUAAAGAAGCACCGGCUAACUACGUG